GUGAGUGAGUUAAGUGUGGAGAAGAGAAAGAAAUGUGAACAUAGAGAACUGGUUUGAUUAUAGAUCUUAUCUCACUGUCAAACAUAUAACAAGUUUAUAUAUGGCUGAGCAUUGAGCAACUACUAUCUUGAGCUUAAACAUAAUCACUAACAAGCUGUAAAUUUAAAAGAUACAUGGUAAACUAAACUGAACCAUUUUUUAUAUAUAGAAGAAUAAGAACAAUCCAAUCAAAGGAGAUCAGUCAAAGUUACACUACAAGAAAAAUUGAAGAUAGCGACAGUCCAUUUGAGGCACUUGGAAGUCUACCGCCGCCGCUCAUCUCAAUAGCGACGUUUAUUGCGGCAUUCAUUCAACCGCGGUUGGUGUGGGUAAAUCUCGGCAGUUCUAGUGGUAAAGUGGCAGCAGUCUAAUUGGGUACAGCGGCGGCUAGAUUAGGAAGGUGAUGAAACUUGCUCAAUCCCUUGUUUUCAAUUUCAGGUGAUGAAAUUUUGAUAUGAAUUAAGACAAAUUUCUAUAAUUUUUCUAGGUUUUAGGUUUUACGAAAUUUUUGAUUUGUUUCUUUGAUUGAUUGAAUAAAUAUAAGAGAAGAUUUAUUGCUUAUUACUUUCAAGAAUAUGCAGUUGUCGGUUGAUUUGAAGUUCAAAAUAGGAGAAGAUUUAUUGCUUAUUACUAUAUGGAGCAAUGAUAUAUUAGUGAUAUAAGAAUGAGGACCUAGUCCUGUAUAGAGCAGAUAUACAUAUAUCAUGCAAAUUAAUCCAGCUUUUUUGAGAUUUAUCAAGUUGAUGGAAGUUAAGGAUUUAUAGUUUUUUUUAAGGUAUCCAUUUAAAGUAGCUUUGUAUGAGAAUAGUGGUGUUGAUACUGUUAAAUACUUCUACAAAUUUUGACAUUUAUGUGGUCUUCUAAUCUUUGGAAAUAGUAUGUAUGCCAAAUAUAUCUAGUGUGUGUCAACUUAGUUUGACUUUUCUAUUAUUAUUUUGACCAUUCAGGUACUUUAUCCAAUUGUUCUCUUGUUAUUUAGAUUUGUCCUUUAUGUUCAUCUGCUCUGCAAUUUUGUCAUGCACCAAUCUCUGGUCUGUAUUUUUUAAUUGAAGGAUGUCUUGAAACUAGUGCAAUGGCGACAUCUAGUAAGUUUGAUCCAUCUUCCAGUAGCCCAAAUAGACCAUUGUACACUGCGCAGCGUGGAUCCAACAUAGCUGCUUCAUUAGAUAGAUCAUGUAGCUUUCGAGAAUGCACCGAAAAUCCAAUUUUGUCUUCUCUGCCCAAAAGUCUAAUCGUCACGUGGAUUAUAAGCGACAAGUUAAUGUUGCUCUUGGAAUUUCACCUGAUGAAUCUACAUCUAUUUCUUCAAAAGGAAAGCUAUUGCCAUCCCCAGUACCAGAAGAUGUAUAGCAUAUGAGGGAUGGUUUGUAUUCAAGCACUGUGAAGGCGAGGGAACGUGUGAAAAUGUUCAAUGAGGCCUUAUCUGUAUUCAAUGAAGUUUUCCCAACUGUAAAUAGUGUCAUGCUAAAUGAUCGCUUAGUCUUGGGGCCAAGCAUAUGGGUAAGGUUGGUGUUCAAGGUCAUCCUUUCACUGGAGGUUUUGAACUAGAUCAGCAAAAGUCGGAAGAAAGCACCAAAAGUCUUGGUCCAAACUAGCGCUCUCAAACUUCUAUGGUUGAUUUAAAGGUGUUCAAUGAUCCCACGGCAUUAACAGAUGAGGAGUUGUAUGAUUUGCGAGACCGCUGGGCAACUUGUUUUCUUCAACUAUAUAAUCCCGAGGUAGAUUAUGAUGAUGCCGACGAGAAAGAUUAGGAGCUAGCUAGGUUUGUGUGAAGUUACAAUGGACUAGUUAUGAUGAUGUUUUAAUUUGUAUUUUGGAUGGAUUAGUAUUAAUUAUUAUGAUGUUUUGUAUUUUGGAUUACAAUGUGGUUGUACUUUAAUGACAUUAUUACUAUA
Trifolium pratense (red clover) is the source of this 1934-nucleotide long non-coding RNA. RefSeq lists it as uncharacterized. The record is from RefSeq and is a predicted model, not a curated record. Lineage: Eukaryota; Viridiplantae; Streptophyta; Magnoliopsida; Fabales; Fabaceae. The transcript has 4 exons.